Molecule: long non-coding RNA, 1136 nt
Organism: Mercenaria mercenaria
Lineage: Eukaryota; Metazoa; Mollusca; Bivalvia; Venerida; Veneridae
Exons: 3
Source: RefSeq, a predicted model, not a curated record
AUUAUUGAUUAUUUCCCAUUUCACCCAAGGUCAAUGACGUUCACUCAGCUUGCAACAACACAAGCUUAAACUCGUGGUUUAUUACUACCAGACGGCCCUAGACUAGUGGCUACAUCAAUGUGGACAGAGAGAGGAGAAGAUACAUUUUGUGCAACUAAAAUGGAAGACUGAGGAUCACAGAAUAUGCAGUAGAUCUAAUUGAAAAGGUGGAUAGAAUCGUCUGUUUUCGCGAGUGAAAAGAUGAGAAGUAUUGGAUAGCAGUCAGUUGUUGCAGUAACAGUUACAGUGUACUCUUGUUCAUUGAUGCGGUUAUUGAUGACGAUGAUGACAUGAUGCCUUCAUCACUCAUCUUGAUUAGUAUGCGGUUAAAGGUUAUAAAAUGGUUAAAGGCAUGCCAUCACCAAUAUGAUAAGAAGCAAUCAGUCUUAAUAUCUUGCAGCUGAAGAAAAGUAAUUGUACCAACAAUGUUAUACUGAAUCAUGAAAAUGUGUACAGACAUUCAUUGUUAUUAUUCUAUGGUGUAUAGCGUUUUUAUCACAUGUUGUUAAAAUCAGUAAAUACACACAUUGUUUUUCCUGAUGUAUCGGAUGAAAUGUAUAUACAACAUUAUCCUGUCACAGUGUGGUAAUGUGGAGAAAUUUACACAUGUUGUGAGAUAUAGACAUGUUAUCUAAUACAUAUAUUUUGAAAAGUGUUCCAAACAUUCUUAUGUUGUGAAGUUACAACAUUGUUAUCCUGUGGUUUGAUAGUUAUACAAAGGAUCUUAUUCAUGAAAAUGUAAAGAACAAUAUCAAUAUUUAACGUAAUAAACAGCACUGCAAUUUGGAAAUUUGGAACAAUUGUACAUAAAUUUUGGAAUAUGUACAGACAUGUUACAUGUACCUUGGUAUAUUUUUUUUUGUUGCUUUUCUAUGGUGUGAAAUGUUAUGCAGUAAUUGUUAUUAUAUUAUGCUUGGAAAGUUUGUACAUGUAUUGUUCUCCAGGUUAUAACACCUUGUACAUAAAUUGUUACAUUGUGGUAUGAAAAAGUUAACAACAGACAGUGUUGAUGUUAUUCUGUGGUAUAUAGACAUUGUUAUGUUGUGAUGUAUAAAAGAGAACAAAUAUAGUUACUCUGUGUUAAAAGUAAACAGACA